CCAUUCAUCCGUGGGUUCUUAGGGUUCCCAAGAUUUUUCUUCCUCGCAGCUGCAAGGUGUCCGGCUUUCCCAAAGCUUCUGCUCCCCCAUGGCCGCCGAGCGUCGAAUCUAGCAAACUGAAACCACCCACGAGCGUAGCAGCAAGGGCGACUCCAUCAACUGUCCAUGCAUGCUCAACCAUCGCCAACUGUUGAAUCUCUUCCUGAACGACCAGUUGGUAGAUUCGGCCGAGUGGUGGCGUCGGCUCCAUCGUCAGGAUUUGUGACCUAAAGUCAUUCCUCGGCCGCCUCGAGCUCGUUCCAAAGAGCCGAGAGCCGAUUGAAGCAAGCGGUAACCAUGAGGUUCCCCUGCUUCAAAUCGAAGAGAGCCUGUGUUAUGGUGAAUAGCUUCACCCGAUCUAGCCGUCCGUACAUCUCACGGAUGCUUUCCCAGUAGGUUCUCGAGUCCUCUGUUGGAGGGAGUCUUGCUGUAAUGUCCGGCGCAAGGCAGUUUCGAUCCAGGUACGUACCAAUUGAUUACACCGUCGCCAAUGCCGUUGAAGCCGUUCAUCUAUUAGGUAGGGCACGGAUUCGUCGAGAAAAACCCUCUUUGUCUUUGGUGAUGAGGACUCUAUGGAAAUCACGCGCCCAGGUGCUGUAGUUGUCGAGGCCGGUGAGUUGUAGCUGGAUGAGUUUCAGAUCUGGCCCAUCUGCCGGUGAAGUGAAAAGAGGGUCACCGACUUCGAGUCGACUGUUGCUACCAAAAGGAAACAGGUACGGUGCAUAGCCGGAUCCAAAAAACGGGUACGGGUUUGGUCCUUGACCCGGUAUGGACCCGAACCCUUGACCCUGUGUAGCACCAUUUCCUUGGUUCGGAUCCCUCCGAUCCGAUUCUUGACUCAGGUCGCCUUCAUUUUUGUUAGGGCUUGGAUCUCCUCUAGGUUGUGGUCCAAAGACGUGGGAGCUUUCUCCCGCAUACGGGCCAUGUUGAGCCCACCCCUGUCCUGAACCAGCACCCCAUUGGCCUUGAACAGGGUACCACAGAAACACAGGCCAUUGCAUUGGACCAGAAGCAAAAGGAAAAAAAAGGACCAGAAGCCGAAGGAAAAACAGGACUAGAAACAGAAGGAAAAAUAAUGGUGUUUUGAGGAUCCUCAGGUUUUUUUAUGACUGCAUCCUCCUGCUCAUUCGGAUUGAUCUGAACCAAUGAAGCUGAAGUUUGAUCUUGAGGCAUUUCCUCCAAAGAUUGAAAAACUGCAAUAACAAUAACUCAAGAAAGAAACGAGGGCAAUUCUGAGAUCGCGGAAGCUAGGUCUGGGACCUAUGCUCUGAUACCAUGAUAGAAACUGAGGUGGAGUUGAGAGGAAAAAUAAUGUACGUAUUCUCAGUAUAUCUCUUGUACAUGUAUGUUCCUCCACUUAUAAUCUUAGUGAGAGGAAGUAAGCUGGGAAAGGAAAUAUACACUGAUUACAUAAUGAUUCUAUGUCCUAUUUUACCAAGCAAAUCACCAAUAAACCAAAUCAAUCACUAAUGCUCGGAAUGAUACUCGGAAUCGGUAUCUUCAUAUUUCCAACAUGAAUGAUACAAAUUUUAUUUGGAACAA
This is a long non-coding RNA of Eucalyptus grandis, 1581 nucleotides long. RefSeq lists it as uncharacterized. Lineage: Eukaryota; Viridiplantae; Streptophyta; Magnoliopsida; Myrtales; Myrtaceae. The transcript has 3 exons. The record is from RefSeq and is a predicted model, not a curated record.